GGGCUGUUGGCGCAGUUGGUAGCGCGCCUCCGUGGCGCGGAAGAGGUCACGGGUUCGACCCGGUACGGUCCACCA
Molecule: transfer RNA, 75 nt
Filed under: Mycobacteroides abscessus subsp. massiliense
Lineage: Bacteria; Bacillati; Actinomycetota; Actinomycetes; Mycobacteriales; Mycobacteriaceae
Description: tRNA-Ala(ggc)
Source: RNAcentral